This 255-nucleotide ribosomal RNA is filed under the name uncultured bacterium. RNAcentral describes it as "partial 16S ribosomal RNA". It matches the Rfam family "Bacterial small subunit ribosomal RNA", at positions 524 to 776 of the family's 1533-position model. The record is from RNAcentral.
UACGUAGGGUGCAAGCGUUGUCCGGAAUUAUUGGGCGUAAAGAGCUCGUAGGCGGUUUUGUCGCGUCUGCUGUGAAAACUGGAGGCUCAACCUCCAGCCUGCAGUGGGUACGGGCAAACUAGAGUGCGGUAGGGGGAGAUUGGAAUUCCUGGUGUAGCGGUGGAAUGCGCAGAUAUCAGGAGGAACACCGAUGGCGAAGGCAGAUCUCUGGGCCGUAACUGACGCUGAGGAGCGAAAGCGUGGGGAGCGAACAGG